Ipomoea nil (Japanese morning glory) is the source of this 775-nucleotide long non-coding RNA. RefSeq lists it as uncharacterized. The transcript has 3 exons. Lineage: Eukaryota; Viridiplantae; Streptophyta; Magnoliopsida; Solanales; Convolvulaceae. The record is from RefSeq and is a predicted model, not a curated record.
GCUGGCAAUCGCGCUGCCGUGCCCCUUGCGCGAGGGGGGCAGUCGCACACUGCCGCGCCCCCGCGCAAGGGGGCGCUAUGCCCAUGCCUAGCCGCGCACCAGGCACGCUGGGCGCGCUGUCGCCGGCUCAGGCCAGCGCCCCGCCGGGGACCCCUCCGGCCACAACCGCCACCCUGCUCUCGGUCACCCCGAUCCAUUUGGCCCAACAAUGCCAGCCCAUCAAGUCCAUGGCUCAUGCCCAAUAUCCCCAACAGCACUGAUAUUGAGGCAUGAUUCUGAGAUUGUCUGCUCCUUUCUCCCCCAACUGCUUUAUAUAAUUCCUCCAAUCGACUGGUCCUUCGAAUAGAUCAUCCAACCCAAUCACAAAUUGUAGCAACCCUUUCACACCUUUUAUCAAACAUUUGGUCGGCACACGAGAAUUCUUCCCAUCAAUGGCGUUUGUAGUCCAACGGUUGGGAUACUUUUUGGAUCUCGCACCUGGAGAUGCAUUAAGAGAAUGGUGGUAAACAGACAUGUGCAGUGAUUAAACUUCACCAAGAUCAGAAAGAAUGCAAGCAACAUUUACUAGACAAAACAACACAAAGAACACACUGUUAAAAGAUGGAAAUUUGUCCCACACCGGAAACCUAUUAAACCGGAUACCCCAAUAUAAGUUGCUGAAGAAAUUAGAUGGACACGACCUUACUUGAACAGGAUCUGUUCUAUAGGCUCGUACCUCUGUAUCCUUGAGUUCUAAGGAGACAGGAAACUAAGCCUGGAUCGGCAGAGCACAACA